This 421-nucleotide long non-coding RNA is filed under the name Nicotiana benthamiana. Its description in RNAcentral is "long non-coding RNA (NBEN_LNC021730)". Lineage: Eukaryota; Viridiplantae; Streptophyta; Magnoliopsida; Solanales; Solanaceae. The record is from RNAcentral.
UGAUUUUGAGGGAGUGGUAGUCUUCCCAAGUAGCUUGAUCUGGUGUAAUCUUGUCCAAUUGAACCAAUACUUGUGCAACAGCCUUGUUACCAUUUUGGAUCAUUCUUCUUUCAAGAAUCUGUUGAGGUUGAGGGCAGUAUGGGCUGGAGAUGUCAAUAAUGGGAGGCUGUGAGAUGGUAUCAGGAAGCUUAUAGCAAGGUUUAAGUUGAGAGACAUGAAACAUGUGGUGAAGUAAGAGCUGGGAUGGCAGGGAUAACUUAUAUGCCACAGUACCAAUCUUUUGUAAGACUUGGUAAGGACCAUAAUAUUUUGCUGAGUUUAGAGAAAUGACUGCCUGAGAGUGUCACUUUCCUAUAAGGAUGUAUCUUGAGGUAAACCCAGUCCCAUUCCUUGAAAUGUUUAUCACUUCUAUGCAUAUUAG